UACGAAGGGGACUAGCGUUGCUCGGAAUUACUGGGCGUAAAGCGUGCGCAGACGGUUGCGUAAGUCAGAUGUGAAAGCCCCGGGCUCAACCUGGGAAUUGCAUUUGAGACUGCGUAGCUAGGGUGCGGAAGAGGGAAGCGGAAUUUCCGGUGUAGCGGUGAAAUGCGUAGAUAUCGGAAGGAACACCAGUGGCGAAAGCGGCUUCCUGGUCCAGCACCGACGUUCAGGCACGAAAGCGUGGGGAGCAAACAGG
This 253-nucleotide ribosomal RNA is filed under the name uncultured bacterium. Its description in RNAcentral is "partial 16S ribosomal RNA". It matches the Rfam family "Bacterial small subunit ribosomal RNA", at positions 524 to 776 of the family's 1533-position model. The record is from RNAcentral.